This is a long non-coding RNA of Neofelis nebulosa (Clouded leopard), 840 nucleotides long. RefSeq lists it as uncharacterized. The record is from RefSeq and is a predicted model, not a curated record. The transcript is spliced from 2 exons. Lineage: Eukaryota; Metazoa; Chordata; Mammalia; Carnivora; Felidae.
GCUCCCUGACUCUCCCUGGGCUCCCGGCCACGCUGCUCCCCGUAGGGCUCCCCGCCUCCCUGAGACUCCUUCCGCCCCGUCCCCGGGCUCCCCAGUCCCCUACCCAGAACCCCACUGGGCUAGGGCGCACGUGGUCCACGCCCUCAUUGGCCUCCAUCGCUGUUCCUGUCCCCAGCGCGCUGGACACAAAAAACAUGGGAUCUCUGGCAGGCUGGAGGGGUGUGGGGAGUGCUUCCCUGAGUGGGGUCAAGGUAUUGAGCGGCACCGGUUAUCGGUUAUCGGUUACCCAGGGGCAGGACCCUGGUAGCCUCGCCUGCUCUCCGGGGAGGCCCCACAAACCCGUCACUCGUCACUGGUGGAAGCGCAUCUGCCAGUUUGGGCCGACACCUUUGACCCCCAUGAGGCUGGGGACCUGAGAACAGAGACCACCCUGGACCGCUGCCCGGCUGGCGGGCCGAUGAGCAAGACAGCCACCCAAAUGCGGGCCAUUAACAGUACAAAAAGUAACAAAACUGAAUUCACGGCUUUCUCUCCCAAGCUUUGAAAGGUAGCAGUCUGGGCUAUAAAAGUCUAAAAGCAUUGCGUAAGAGGUGUUAAAUCUACAGCAAAUACAUCUUGUAAAAACUCAAUAAAUUAUAUAUAUAGAUAUAUAUAAACUUGUAACAUCUAAUAACAUCUGAACCUGCGUGCAGGGUUGCCCACCCCCCCCCCCGAAACUGCCUCCUCACUCAGAACACAUGGCAAUUAGAACUUGUAUGAAAAUACCAGCUUGCUUUGAAGUCCAAAAAAUACAUCUCCUAAAGAAAAACCCUAUAGAAACCUAAUUCCCCUGUGAAAGAA